AUUAAGCAAUUUCUUCAAAGCUCUCCAAGCUUGUUUAGGGAAUGAUUGCUUAUGUUCUUCCCAAAUUUGCAUGCUCGAUAGUAGGUCAGGUCAUCAUCAAGAUCAGAAAGUCCUUCUCCCAGUUUCUUAAGUAGCCCUAAAAGAUGAAAAUACCCAAGUCUUUUGUGCCAAAUUUCAGUGGCAUUUUCUUUGGAUUUAAAGGCUAUGUGCUCCUCCUCCAUUGGAUUGAGAGCAAAACUUGUUCCCUUCAUCUCAACUUUAAACA
This 265-nucleotide long non-coding RNA is filed under the name Phaseolus vulgaris (common bean). Its description in RNAcentral is "long non-coding RNA (PVUL_LNC005183)". Lineage: Eukaryota; Viridiplantae; Streptophyta; Magnoliopsida; Fabales; Fabaceae. The record is from RNAcentral.